AGGUGGUAAGUUUUUAAAAUUUAAACAUAAUCUUCUAUAUACAUAGAGACAAGUGGGGUAAUUGUAAAUGUAUUUUUCUCCAGGAAUAUUUAGCAGCUUUUAUUUUAUUUUAAAAGUUCUGGUUCUUAUAUGUGUUACUAUCAUAUUAAAUAUAACAUCAAAAUAUAAUUAUGUGUAUUUAUCAUUUAAAAUACAUUUACAACUAACCCCAAUUUACCAUAAAUUUGGAUUUAAAAAAAACUUAAAUUGUAGAUUACAAUGAUUUACAUUUUUAUCAAUUUCAGCUUGCAAUUACUGUGGCCAAGGAGGCCACAUUGAAAAAAAUUGUCACAUAAAAGCUGCUGGUCUGCCGCCUCCUAUUCCCAAAAUGUGUACAUACUGUGGUCUCCCCGGGCACGGGGAAAUGGUAUGUCACGUUAAAGCAGCUGGAUAUCCUCCUGUAAAAAAAAAAAUUUGUGAACAUUGCCAUUUCCCCGGGCACGGGGAACAAGAGUGCCACAUUAAAGCAGCAGGAUUGCCGCCGCCGCCAUCAAAUAUAAAUGAAUAAAAAUAAAAAAUUAUUUAAAAAAAAAAAUGUUGCC
Molecule: long non-coding RNA, 581 nt
Organism: Daktulosphaira vitifoliae (grape phylloxera)
Lineage: Eukaryota; Metazoa; Arthropoda; Insecta; Hemiptera; Phylloxeridae
Exons: 4
Source: RefSeq, a predicted model, not a curated record